This 490-nucleotide ribosomal RNA is filed under the name uncultured bacterium. RNAcentral's name for it is "bacterial SSU rRNA". It matches the Rfam family "Bacterial small subunit ribosomal RNA", at positions 17 to 507 of the family's 1533-position model. The record is from RNAcentral.
UCCUGGCUCAGAUUGAACGCUGGCGGAAUGCUUACACAUGCAAGUCGAACGGUAGAGGGGGCAACCCUUGAGAGUGGCGAACGGGUGAGUAUAUAUCGGAACGUCGCCCAGUCGUGGGGGAUAACGUAGCGAAAGUUACGCUAAUACCGCAUACGAUCUAAGGGUGAAAGCGGGGGAUCGCAAGACCUCGCGCGAUUGGAGCGGCCGAUAUCAGAUUAGGUAGUUGGUGAGGUAAAGGCUCACCAAGCCAACGAUCUGUAGCUGGUCUGAGAGGACGACCAGCCACACUGGAACUGAGACACGGUCCAGACUCCUACGGGAGGCAGCAGUGGGGGAAUUUUGGACAAUGGACGCAAGUCUGAUCCAGCCAUUCCGCGUGCAGGAUGAAGGCCCUCGGGUUGUAAACUGCUUUUGUACGGAACGAAAAGGUUUCUAUUAAUACUAGGAGCUCAUGACGGUACCGUAAGAAUAAGCACCGGCUAACUACGUG